This 2229-nucleotide long non-coding RNA is filed under the name Musa acuminata (dwarf banana). Its description in RNAcentral is "long non-coding RNA (MACU_LNC010511)". Lineage: Eukaryota; Viridiplantae; Streptophyta; Magnoliopsida; Zingiberales; Musaceae. The record is from RNAcentral.
CUGUCGUCGUCGUCGCCCCCCUCAGCCUCGGUUCUCUCCGAUCCUCCUCUGCACCAUCAUUGUUGCCUGUACAAGAAUGACAGGGCACAGUGACAUGAUCGACAACUCGAGUGUUCUACCUACAGAUUGCAAGAAUCUUCUCUCAAGUAGUGAUUCCUCCUGGUUCAUGCUAAUGCACUUACAAUUAGAUGAGGAAAUGCCACAUUAAUGUCCUAGGAGAGACUCUUCUUUCCGCUUGCAGGUUUCUUGUAAUGCUUGUAUGAUCAUGUUUGAGAAGAUUGGUUCUAAUGGGCUGAAUGUGAAAAUGAUCUCUGCAGGCGCAUGCACCAAAUCGUCAGCGUUCACAGACACGACUAGCAGCUCUCCUGGGAGUCUUCAGAUGAAAAUAUAUGUCAUGGUAACAAUUACAUGCAGUUUGGAGUUCUCCUAAGAGUUUGUUACCUACUUACCUUUAGUGGAGUUCUGUUUCGCUUUUAUAACAGCAGAGUAUACGCAUCAGAUUUAUUUAGAAGCAUAUGCAUCUCAUGUCUAUCUAACCAAGUUCCUAUUCUUUUGAGAAUAUGCCAAGUAGAUUGGAGGAGCUGCCUCAUUUAUCAAAGCAGAUCUUAGUAAAUUUAGGAUAUGUACCAAUAUUUGAAAAGGAUGUGCCCCAAAACACCACAGAGAAAACAAAAAAAAUGGUCUCAAUUCUUGAAGCUAUUGAAGGUCACAAAAGAAAAGAAGAUGAAAAGUUUGGUGCUUAGAUGUCUGAACUUGUGCUAACCAUCACUAGGAAGCAACUUCUAGCCUUAGGUGGCACAAUAAAAACUAGAGGUGGAAUAUUGUUUGAUUUCUUUUGGGGUAAUAUACAACUAAUGUUUCUGCUUUUCAUGUGCAAGCUAAAUGUGCUGAUGUUAUGUGAGGUAAGUUUUCUGACCUUUCUUGAGGUCGUCCAUUUGAAUGCAUCAUUUAAAUCAUUCUCCAAUUGUUCGAGACCAUCGAUAUUCAGCUUGGCAAAAUCUGUUUCGAUAAACCUUUACAAGGAACAAAAAGGUAUUAGCGAUAAUAUACACCAGAUUUCUUAUCACAUAGACACAUCAAUAGUUACGUUAUAACCUUUCAGCAAUCUCCAGUAGUUUGAAAUUGCCUUCUGAACAAGCAAAUCCUUUUUCGUGAUUCUGUGGCAUCAUUAGUAGAUAAUAAGAAAAUGUAAUUUCUAAUAUAUUAGGAAAAAAAUUAUCAUGUUACCUGGAAAAAAAAAAGGCAUACAGUUUUAGAUUCAAAUUCAUCUUUAAAAGAUGUAAAGAUGCAAAAGGAAUGUCUGACAUUUGCCCUUGAGGUGAAUGACCUAGAGAUCACAUUGUUGCUGAGAAGAAUCCUUCGAGUUUAGAUAACCAGUUCAUUCUAUUAAAAAAUUCACAAUCAAAAGGUACCAGAUUCUCUUUUGGAAGGCCUUGAAAGAGAGAGGAUGGAGUGCCUACAGACAUCGGGCUAUUCUUUAAUUCAUUUGAGAGCAUCCAUUUCGGGAAUACAUCUCACAUUUAACCAAGGUUGUGAUUCUCUUUCUUUAGUUUCUUCCAACUCUCAGUUAGAGCAAUUAAUAUAUUUCAAAUGACGAGGGAAAUUAAGUAUCGAAUGAGAAGAAUCCAUAAUCAAAUGCUAUGUUGAAAGCAAGGAUAGAGUCAGUUGGUAACUUAAGUGUAAAGACAUCUAUGAAGUACUGGUGGUUCUGAUCAAUACUUCGUUGUCAGAAUAUGAUCUAGGAAAUAGUAUUGAGUUCAAGAGUACCAUUAUCAAAGAUGAUAUACCAGUUAGGAUAGCUUGAGAUCCUCAAUGAUACCUUGUAUAACCAAACCUUUCUUGGACUUUCUUUAAUGGUAGCAAUAUAACUAACAAAAUAGCUGACUAAAAGUCUUCCUAGAAUUAAGAUUUGCUUUAAACAAGCAUCAUAAAUUGACGGAACAAUUAAUUCAUCUAUGUUUCCCAUCACAUAAAAUUAUGGGGACCUGUGAGGAUGAAUACAGAGACAAAAUUUUAACUGUGUUCAUGAACUUCGGAAGGCUAAGUCGAAGGAUGAAAGGACUUAGCACUAAGAAUGACAAUGAAAACAAUAAAAUAAUAAUAAAAUUACCUGCUCCUUUUCAUUGUGCUUAUCAAAAUAUUUUUCUGCUUUCAUAAAUUUCUGGUAAUGAUCCACUGUCUUCUCCAGGCUGGAUUGAAGUAAAUGAUACAUCUGCAAUUCAACAUAUG